RNAcentral lists this ribosomal RNA (484 nucleotides) under uncultured bacterium. RNAcentral describes it as "partial 16S ribosomal RNA". It matches the Rfam family "Bacterial small subunit ribosomal RNA", at positions 30 to 507 of the family's 1533-position model. The record is from RNAcentral.
AUUGAACGCUGGCGGCAGGCCUAACACAUGCAAGUCGAGCGGAUGAAGGGAGCUUGCUCCUGGAUUCAGCGGCGGACGGGUGAGUAAUGCCUAGGAAUCUGCCUUGUAGUGGGGGAUAACGUCCGGAAACGGGCGCUAAUACCGCAUACGUCCUGAGGGAGAAAGUGGGGGAUCUUCGGACCUCACGCUAUCAGAUGAGCCUAGGUCGGAUUAGCUAGUUGGUGGGGUAAAGGCCUACCAAGGCGACGAUCCGUAACUGGUCUGAGAGGAUGAUCAGUCACACUGGAACUGAGACACGGUACAGACUCCUACGGGAGGAAGCAGUGGGGAAUAUUGGACAAUGGGCGAAAGCCUGAUCCAGCCAUGCCGCGUGUGUGAAGAAGGUCUUCGGAUUGUAAAGCACUUUAAGUUGGGAGGAAGGGCAGUAAGUUAAUACCUUGCUGUUUUGACGUUACCAACAGAAUAAGCACCGGCUAACUUCGUG